This 441-nucleotide ribosomal RNA is filed under the name uncultured bacterium. RNAcentral's name for it is "partial 16S ribosomal RNA". It matches the Rfam family "Bacterial small subunit ribosomal RNA", at positions 338 to 795 of the family's 1533-position model. The record is from RNAcentral.
CCUACGGGUGGCUGCAGUGGGGAAUAUUGCACAAUGGGGGAAACCCUGAUGCAGCGACGCCGCGUGAGUGAAGACGUAUUUCGGUAUGUAAAGCUCUAUCUGCGGGGAGGAAGAAUGACGGUCCCUGACUAUGAAGCACCGGCUAACUACGUGCCAGCAGCCGCGGUAAUACGUAGGGGGCACGCGUAUUCCGGAUUUACUGGGUGUAAAGGGAGCGUAGACGGCUGUGCAAGUCUGAAGUGAAAGCCCAGGGCUCAACCCUGGGACUGCGUCGGAAACUGUGGAGCUAGAGUGCUGGAGAGGUAAGUGGAAGUCCUAGUGUAGCGGUGAAAUGCGUAGAUAUUAGGAGGAACACCAGUGGCGAAGGCAGCUUACUGGACAGUAACUGACGUUGAGGCUCGAAAGCGUGGGGAGCAAACAGGAUUAGAUACCCUUGUAGUC